RNAcentral lists this unclassified non-coding RNA (381 nucleotides) under soil metagenome. RNAcentral's name for it is "partial contains 5.8S ribosomal RNA, internal transcribed spacer 2, and large subunit ribosomal RNA". The stretch from base 1 to 120 matches the Rfam family "5.8S ribosomal RNA", at positions 35 to 154 of the family's 154-position model. The record is from RNAcentral.
GAUGAAGAACGUAGCGAAAUGCGAUAAGUAAUGUGAAUUGCAGAAUUCAGUGAAUCAUCGAAUCUUUGAACGCACCUUGCGCUCCUUGGUAUUCCGAGGAGCAUGCCUGUUUGAGUGUCAUUAAUAUAUCAACCUCUUCAGCUUAUGCUUGUUGAGUGUUGGAUGGUGGGGGUUUGCUGGUGUCUUAUGAAGUCAGCUCCUCUGAAAUGCAUUAGCGGAACAAUUUGUUGACCGUUCAUUGGUGUGAUAAAAAUAUCUACGCUAUUGACGUCAGUCAGUUCAGCUUCUAACAGUCCAUUGACUUGGACAAAUUUUUCAUUAAUGUGACCUCAAAUCAGGUAGGACUACCCGCUGAACUUAAGCACAUCAAUAAGCGGAGGA